GACGAACGCUGGCGGCGUGCUUAACACAUGCAAGUCGAACGGAAAGGCCCUGCUUUUGUGGGGUGCUCGAGUGGCGAACGGGUGAGUAACACGUGAGUAACCUGCCCUUGACUUUGGGAUAACUUCAGGAAACUGGGGCUAAUACCGGAUAGGAGCUCCUGCUGCAUGGUGGGGGUUGGAAAGUUUCGGCGGUUGGGGAUGGACUCGCGGCUUAUCAGCUUGUUGGUGGGGUAGUGGCUUACCAAGGCUUUGACGGGUAGCCGGCCUGCGAGGGUGACAGGCCACAUUGGGACGGAGAUACGGCCCAGACUCCUACGGGAGGCAGCGGUGGGGAAUAGUGCACAAGGGGCGGAAGCCUGAUGUAGCAACGCCGCGUGCGGGAUGACGGCCUGCGGGUUGGAAACCGCAUUCGCCUGUGACGAAGCGUGAGUGACGGUAAUGGGUAAAGAAGCACCGGCUAACUACGUG
RNAcentral lists this ribosomal RNA (468 nucleotides) under uncultured bacterium. RNAcentral's name for it is "partial 16S ribosomal RNA". It matches the Rfam family "Bacterial small subunit ribosomal RNA", at positions 28 to 507 of the family's 1533-position model. The record is from RNAcentral.